This 424-nucleotide ribosomal RNA is filed under the name uncultured bacterium. RNAcentral's name for it is "partial 16S ribosomal RNA". It matches the Rfam family "Bacterial small subunit ribosomal RNA", at positions 360 to 776 of the family's 1533-position model. The record is from RNAcentral.
AAUAUUGGACAAUGGGCGAAAGCCUGAUCCAGCCAUGCCGCGUGUGUGAAGAAGGUCUUCGGAUUGUAAAGCACUUUAAGUUGGGAGGAAGGGCAGUAAGUUCAUACCUUGCUGUUUUGACGUUACCGCCAGAAUAGGCACAGGCGAACUUCGUGCCUGCAGACGCGGUAAUACGAAGGGUGCAAGCGUUAAUCGGAAUUACUGGGCGUAAAGCGUGCGUAGGUGGUUCAUUAAGUUUGAAGUGGAAGCCCCGGGCUUAACCUGGGAAUUGCUUUCAAAACUGACGAGCUAGAGUACGGUAGAGGGUAGUGGAAUUUCCUGUGUAGCGGUGAAAUGCGUAGAUAUAGGAAGGAACAUCAGUGGCGAAGGCGACUACCUGGACUGAUACUGACACUGAGGUGCGAAAGCGUGGGGAGCAAACAGG